GGGAGGUGUGAUAUCGUGCUUCCUGUGGAGGUGUGAUCCGCAAUCCCUGGGAGGUGUGAUCCCGUGCUCACU
RNAcentral lists this microRNA precursor (72 nucleotides) under Nomascus leucogenys (northern white-cheeked gibbon). Its description in RNAcentral is "mir-3689 microRNA precursor family". It matches the Rfam family "mir-3689 microRNA precursor family". Lineage: Eukaryota; Metazoa; Chordata; Mammalia; Primates; Hylobatidae. The record is from Rfam by way of RNAcentral.